RNAcentral lists this non-coding RNA (24 nucleotides) under Arabidopsis thaliana (thale cress). Lineage: Eukaryota; Viridiplantae; Streptophyta; Magnoliopsida; Brassicales; Brassicaceae. The record is from RNAcentral.
GGAAGCCUACCUAAUUCAUGUACA